RNAcentral lists this ribosomal RNA (460 nucleotides) under Salmonella enterica subsp. enterica serovar Goldcoast. Its description in RNAcentral is "bacterial SSU rRNA". It matches the Rfam family "Bacterial small subunit ribosomal RNA", at positions 338 to 795 of the family's 1533-position model. The record is from RNAcentral. Lineage: Bacteria; Pseudomonadati; Pseudomonadota; Gammaproteobacteria; Enterobacterales; Enterobacteriaceae.
CCUACGGGCGGCAGCAGUGAGGAAUAUUGGUCAAUGGGCGAGAGCCUGAACCAGCCAAGUAGCGUGAAGGAUGACUGCCCUAUGGGUUGUAAACUUCUUUUAUAAAGGAAUAAAGUCGGGUAUGCAUACCCGUUUGCAUGUACUUUAUGAAUAAGGAUCGGCUAACUCCGUGCCAGCAGCCGCGGUAAUACGGAGGAUCCGAGCGUUAUCCGGAUUUAUUGGGUUUAAAGGGAGCGUAGAUGGAUGUUUAAGUCAGUUGUGAAAGUUUGCGGCUCAACCGUAAAAUUGCAGUUGAUACUGGAUAUCUUGAGUGCAGUUGAGGCAGGCGGAAUUCGUGGUGUAGCGGUGAAAUGCUUAGAUAUCACGAAGAACUCCGAUUGCGAAGGCAGCCUGCUAAGCUGCAACUGACAUUGAGGCUCGAAAGUGUGGGUAUCAAACAGGAUUAGAUACCCUUUUAGUC